AGAGUUUGAUCCUGGCUCAGAUUGAACGCUGGCGGCAUGCUUUACACAUGCAAGCCGAACGGCAGCACGGGGGCGAACCCUCGGUGGCGAGUGGCGAACGGGUAGGGUAAGUGCAUCGGAACGUAUCCUUGAGUGGGGAGUAACGCAGCGAAAGUUGUUGCUAAUACCGCAUAAGCUCUGAGGAGGAAAGCGGGGCCGGAAAGGCCUCGCGCUGAAGGAGCGGCCGAUGUCCGAUUAGCUAGUUGGUGAGGUAAAGGCUUACCAAGGCGACGAUCGGUAGCUGGUCUGAGAGGAUGAUCAGCCACACUGGGACUGAGACACGGCCCAGACUCCUACGGGAGGCGAC
RNAcentral lists this ribosomal RNA (346 nucleotides) under uncultured prokaryote. RNAcentral's name for it is "bacterial SSU rRNA". It matches the Rfam family "Bacterial small subunit ribosomal RNA", at positions 8 to 352 of the family's 1533-position model. The record is from RNAcentral.